GUUGGAGCCGUCCUUGAAAUACCACCCUUGUAUGUUUGAUGUUCUAACUUAGACCCGUUAUCCGGGUUGAGGACAGUGCCUGGUGGGUAGUUUGACUGGGGCGGUCUCCUCCCAAAGAGUAACGGAGGAGCACGAAGGUGGGCUAAUCACGGUUGGACAUCGUGAGGUUAGUGCAAUGGCAUAAGCCCGCUUAACUGCGAGAAUGACGGUUCGAGCAGGUGCGAAAGCAGGUCAUAGUGAUCCGGUGGUUCUGUAUGGAAGGGCCAUCGCUCAACGGAUAAAAGGUACUCCGGGGAUAACAGGCUGAUACCGCCCAAGAGUUCAUAUCGACGGCGGUGUUUGGCACCUCGAUGUCGGCUCAUCACAUCCUGGGGCUGAAGUCGGUCCCAAGGGUAUGGCUGUUCGCCAUUUAAAGUGGUACGCGAGCUGGGUUUAGAACGUCGUGAGACAGUUCGGUCCCUAUCUGCCGUGGGCGUUGGAAGAUUGAAGGGGGCUGCUCCUAGUACGAGAGGACCGGAGUGGACGAACCUCUGGUGUUCGGGUUGUGUCGCCAGACGCAUUGCCCGGUAGCUAAGUUCGGAAUUGAUAAGCGCUGAAAGCAUCUAAGCGCGAAGCGAGCCCUGAGAUGAGUCUUCCCUGAUACUUUAAGUAUCCUAAAGGGUUGUUCGAGACUAGAACGUUGAUAGGCAGGGUGUGUAAGCGUUGUGAGGCGUUGAGCUAACCUGUACUAAUUGCCCGUGAGGCUUAACCAU
This 752-nucleotide ribosomal RNA is filed under the name Vibrio cholerae. RNAcentral's name for it is "partial 23S ribosomal RNA". It matches the Rfam family "Bacterial large subunit ribosomal RNA", at positions 2179 to 2925 of the family's 2925-position model. The record is from RNAcentral. Lineage: Bacteria; Pseudomonadati; Pseudomonadota; Gammaproteobacteria; Vibrionales; Vibrionaceae.